This 254-nucleotide ribosomal RNA is filed under the name uncultured bacterium. RNAcentral's name for it is "partial 16S ribosomal RNA". It matches the Rfam family "Bacterial small subunit ribosomal RNA", at positions 524 to 776 of the family's 1533-position model. The record is from RNAcentral.
UACGGGGGGAGCAAGCGUUGUUCGGAUUUACUGGGCGUAAAGGGCGCGUAGGCGGCCAGCACAAGUCAGUUGUGAAAUCUCCGGGCUUAACCUGGGAACUGCAUCCGAUACUGGAUGGCUUGAAUCCGGGAGAGGGAUGCAGAAUUCCAGGUGUAGCGGUGAAAUGCGUAGAUAUCUGGAGGAACACCGGUGGCGAAGGCGGCAUUCUGGACCAAUAUUGACGCUGAGGAGCGAAAGCCAGGGGAGCAAACGGG